AGAGUUUGAUCAUGGCUCAGGAUGAACGCUGGCGGUCUGCUUAACACAUGCAAGUCGAACGGAGUAGAAAUACUUAGUGGCGGACGGGUGAGUAACGCGUGAGAAUCUGCCUUCAGGACGGAGACAACAGUUGGAAACGACUGCUAAGCCCCGAUGAACCGAAAGGGAAAAUAUUUAUAGCCUGAAGAUGAGCUCGCGUCCGAUUAGCUAGUUGGCGGAGUAAAAGCCCACCAAGGCGACGAUCGGUAGCUGGUCUGAGAGGACGAUCAGCCACACUGGGACUGAGACACGGCCCAGACUCCUACGGGAGGCAGCAGUGGGGAAUUUUCCGCAAUGGGCGAAAGCCUGACGGAGCAAGACCGCGUGAGGGAGGAAGGCUCUUGGGUUGUAAACCUCUUUUGUCAGGGAAGAAGAAAGUGACGGUACCUGACGAAUCAGCAUCGGCUAACUCCGUGCCAGCAGCCGCGGUAAUACGGAGGAUGCAAGCGUUAUCCGGAAUUAUUGGGCGUAAAGCGUCCGCAGGUGGCACUUCAAGUCUGUCGUCAAAGACCGGGGCUUAACCCUGGAAAGGCGAUGGAAACUGAAAGGCUAGAGAGAGGUAGGGGUAGAGGGAAUUCCCAGUGUAGCGGUGAAAUGCGUAGAGAUUGGGAAGAACAUCGGUGGCGAAAGCGCUCUACUGGACCUCAUCUGACACUCAGGGACGAAAGCUAGGGGAGCGAAUGGGAUUAGAUACCCCAGUAGUCC
Molecule: ribosomal RNA, 744 nt
Filed under: uncultured cyanobacterium
Lineage: Bacteria; Bacillati; Cyanobacteriota
Description: bacterial SSU rRNA
Rfam family: Bacterial small subunit ribosomal RNA
Source: RNAcentral